GAAUGGUUUCCUUGUCCCAGAUGUUGAGAGAGGCCAAGGAGAAGGAGAAGCAGCGGCUGGCACAGCAGCUCACGGCGGAGAGGACUGCACACUAUGGGAUGCUGUUUAAUGAAUAUCAAGGUUUGUCACACCUGGAGAUUCUGUCCAAUGAGAGCGAGAGCAAGGUUCAGUCAUUUUUAGCAUCACUGGAUGGAGAGAAGCUAGAACUCUUGAAAAAUGACCUAAUUUCUAUCAAAGACAUCUUUGUAGCCAAAGAAUCAGAGAAUGAGGAAAAUCCAGAGGAACAAGGCCUAGAAGAAAGCGGGGAAGAAUUUGCUAGG
This 320-nucleotide long non-coding RNA is filed under the name Rattus norvegicus (Norway rat). RNAcentral's name for it is "long non-coding RNA NONRATT030396". Lineage: Eukaryota; Metazoa; Chordata; Mammalia; Rodentia; Muridae. The record is from RNAcentral.